This 450-nucleotide ribosomal RNA is filed under the name uncultured bacterium. RNAcentral describes it as "bacterial SSU rRNA". It matches the Rfam family "Bacterial small subunit ribosomal RNA", at positions 30 to 511 of the family's 1533-position model. The record is from RNAcentral.
AUUGAACGCUGGCGGUAUGCUUAAGACAUGCAAGUCGAACGGUAACAGACCUUCGGGUGCUGACGAGUGGCGGACGGGUGAGUAACACGUGGGAAUCUACCUUGUAGUGGGGGAUAAGCCAGGGAAACUUGGACUAAUACCGCAUACGCCCUAAGGGGAAAGGAGCAAUUCGCUAUAAGAUGAGCCCGCGUCUGAUUAGCUAGUUGGUGAGGUAAAGGCUCACCAAGGCGACGAUCAGUAGCUGGUCUGAGAGGAUGGCCAGCCACAUUGGGACUGAGACACGGCCCAGACUCCUACGGGAGGCAGCAGUCGGGAAUAUUGGACAAUGGGGGCGAACCCUCGAUCCAGCAAUACCGCGUGUGUGAAGAAGGCCUGCGGGUUGUAAAGCACUUUUAGUAGGGAAGAUAAUGACGUUACCUACAGAAAAGACACCGGCUAACUCCGUGCCAG